Molecule: long non-coding RNA, 1075 nt
Filed under: Rhinolophus ferrumequinum (greater horseshoe bat)
Lineage: Eukaryota; Metazoa; Chordata; Mammalia; Chiroptera; Rhinolophidae
Description: lncRNA (ENSRFEG00010021706.1)
Source: RNAcentral
CUUGCCUGAAUCCCCGAGGAGGGAGGAGGGAGAGGAGGAAGGCGGGGGAGCGAGGCAGAGGGGGGUGGGGGAGCGCAGCCGCGGCAGCUAGCGGUCCGUCUCGCACGCGCGGGCACCGCGCCGGUCCGGGGCUGCAGGUUUCCCAGAUGAUGGCAUCCGAGAACUUAAACAAAGGGGGCCGCCGCCGGAGCGCAGCGGCUGCGGAAAGUUGCGGUGGCGGAUUUCCAAGGAGCGUGGCCACGACCCGAGCUCUUGGCGCGGCGAGCAACCCCCUUCCCACCCUCGCCGAGACAGAGAUGGGGGCCUGCUGGUGAAGGAAAAAGGAAACUUUGAAACCACUGGGGACACAUCUGUCUAUAGGUCAAGCCCCUCAGAGUUGCUGCAGACCCAGGCAUCCACCUGUCUGCACCCACCCUGCCAGGCCUUCUAGCCCCCUCACCACCCGCCUCUCCAGUUGCCCAGAGCAGACAGUCUGCCAAAGCUGGUGCAAGCCCUCAGGCCAGGCCUGCAGUGCCCUCUGCAACUCCCGCCACCGUUGCUGGCCUGGCCUGGCCGGGGCUGGGCUGGGGCUGCCACCUCACAAAUGGACCCUUCGGUGGGGCCUGCUCAGAAAUUCCAGCCAGCCAGCCCAGCAUGGCAGAGAGGGCUGGAGGCCUUGAGUGACACAAGCGCCUACCCCUGGCUACAUACAAGUGCAAAUGAGAUGCAUGCUGGCUGAUCAGUCCACUGUAUUUUAUGCAACUUAAUGUGUCUAUGUCUUGUCAACUCUACUUGUCAGGAAGAAUAGCAAAAAAUUUUAAAAAGAGUUUUUUGUGUGUGUGAUUUCCAACUGCAAUUGCAUCCAGGGAGAUGGGGUGAGAGUGGGGACAGGACGGCUCGCUGACACAAACAACAGUUUAUAAACCCUCCUAAAAUGCGAACUUAAGCCACAAAGAAGAAACGAAAAAGAGGUGGGGGUGGGCUGUGGUUGCUGACAAGAAACCUUGACAAAACUAGGUGGAUUCUGGCUGGGAAAAGUUUAAAGCCAUAACACAUUUUUUUUAAGAAACAAAAUUCAUUUGUAUUUACUUGGGUG